CCUGAUGCAGCAUCAUAGUUCCUUUACCGCCAAGCAAUCGUUUUUAAAUUUCCUUUUAUUGUUAGUUUUCCUUUUCGGUUUCAAGUCGUGAACUUUCCUUUCUUUUAUGAUUUCCUAAACCUAGAGGGACUAGUCGUAUGUGACCGACCCUAGGCGCCUAUAUAAAGGCUUCUUCUUGUUUUCUUUAGACACAGAUUUUGAAAGAUAAUAAACUAGAGUUUCUCUAAAGCCUUGCAUUGAUUUGAUUCCGUCAUCAAUACGAGAGCCUUGUAUCGAAUUUGAUUAAGUUCUUCGAUUCAAGAAGUCAGGUCUCUAAAGAUUUAAACUAAAUCUUUAGAUUUGAGCUGAGUUAUCAUUGUUACGCUGCGCCAGGUUGGUAUCAGAGCUUUGCUACGCUCCUCGAAAUUUUUUUUUCGUUCAUCAUGGCAAGACCUCGUCGAGUACCUGUUCGAACCGAAGCAGAAAUCACCCGUGAUGCAAUCGCUGAGCUUCAAGCUCAGAUGCAGACUAUCACCACUGCCCUUCAGAACCUUAACGUUCAACGCAACGGCCCCCCACCUCCUGGUGGUGCCCCCGCUAAUGAGCAAGCUGACGGAACAGAUGGUGAAGAAGACGAAGACGCAAACCUGUUUGCUGAUAAUCCUUUUGCUCCUCUCCAGAAUAACCGCGCCAUUGCGCGUGAAGCUGUUCUAGGCGUCGAUGACGGCCUAGCUUGGGAAAAAGGGUUCAAAACAGAGAUCCCAGAAUUUUUUGGCAAUUCCUCCGCUGAAGAACUCCUCGAUUGGAUUGUUACGGUUGAAGAAAUUUUAGAAUUCAAAAGAGCGCCGAUGGAUCGUUGUGUUCCUUUAAUCUCUAUGCGAUUUCGAAACAGAGCAGCAGCAUGGUGGACACAAUUGAAAUCAACGCGGGCUCGUCUCGGGAAGCCUAAAAUAAUGUCAUGGGAUAAGCUCAAGUCAAAACUUAAGAAAACCUUCUUACCUUACAACUAUGACCAGCUUAUGUUCCAACGCCUCCAUACACUCCGGCAAGGCACCCGUUCCGUGGCUGAAUAUUCCACCGAAUUUUUCUUGCUUCUCAAUCGUGUUGAUCUCCAAGAUUCUGAGCGUCAACUAGUAGCACGUUUUACAGCCGGACUACGACAACAAAUUCAGCACACACUCACUCUAUUCAAUCCAUUAACAUUGUCGGAGGCACAUCAACAAGCUUUAACUAUCGAAGCCCAGACAAAAUCAUCCUUCUCGUCCUGGACUAAUGGUCGUUCUGCUCGACCAAAUCAAGCUCAAACAUCUCAGCCAGCAAAUGACGAUGCCGUACCCGUCAAAACAGACACGGCCAUCGUUCCUGUUUUCGACAAUCGUCAAACUCGACCGACUUCACUUCGUUGUUUCUCUUGUGGAGAAGUAGGACAUCGACAGUCUAACUGUCCCACUCGCAACCGACGAGGCCUCCUUCUUGACACAGCUGGUAAUGACGUUGAAGUAAUCUACGAUGAAGACCCUUUGGAAGCACAAGACGAACCAGAAGUUCUGGUAGCAGACACUGGUGCGGCGUUAAUGGUGCGACGUGUGUGUCUUGCUCCCCGUGGAGCAGAUGUCAACCCACAACGUCAUAAUCUUUUUCAUUCAAAGUGCACCAUUGGCGGCAAGGUCUGCCGGUUCAUCAUCGAUUCAGGCAGUAGUGAAAACGUUAUUUCCGAGGAAGUAGUCAAUAAACUACAGUUACCGACGGAACUACAUCCUUACCCCUAUAAGUUGGCGUGGCUUGAUCAGAAAACCGACUUGCUCAUCACUAAACGAGCAUUGAUUUCCUUUUCGGUGGGUGAUGCAUACAAAGAUCAAAUUCAUUGUGAUGUAGCACCAAUGGAUGCGUGUCAUCUUCUUUUAGGAAGACCAUGGAUCUUUGAUCGCCGAAUCCAACAUGAUGGGUUCCUUAACACUUAUAGUUUCCGUUUCAACAACCGCAAUUUUACACUUCAACCUUCACCACCUGCCCAACACAACAGCUCCCUUUCUCCAGUUCUCAUUCUCAGUCGCAAACCGUUCCAACAAGCAAUGCGCGAAGCAGGGAUGGUACUGAUUCUACUCAACUCAACAGCACCGACACCGUCACCGCAAGUUCCGGAUGCAUUCGCACCUCUCAUUAAAGACUUCCAAGACGUCUUUCCUGAUGAUUUGCCUCCAGGGUUGCCGCCUCUUCGUGAUAUUCAGCACCGCAUUGACCUUGUUCCCGAUGCUAUUUUACCAAACAGAGCUCAUUAUCGCAUGAGUCCUACUGAACACGAAGAGCUACGACGACAAGUUGAAGAACUUGUUUCUAAAGGAUAUCUACGUGAAAGUCUAAGUCCUUGUGCAGUACCGGCUUUACUGGUUCCAAAGAAAGAUGGUUCGUGGCGUAUGUGUGUGGAUAGUCGAGCUAUUAACAAAAUUACGGUUCGUUAUCGAUUUCCUAUACCUCGCCUAGACGACCUCCUUGACCAGAUCGGCACAGCCUCAGUGUUCUCUAAACUUGAUCUAAAAAGUGGUUACCAUCAGAUUCGUAUCCAACCCGGAGAUGAAUGGAAAACAGCAUUCAAGACUCGCGAAGGACUUUUUGAGUGGCUCGUGAUGCCAUUCGGUCUGUCUAAUGCACCUAGCACGUUUAUGCGAGUCAUGAACCAAUCACUUCGUCCUUUUAUUGGCAAGUUUGUGGUGGUUUACUUUGAUGACAUUCUAAUCUUUAGCGCGUCACUUACCGACCACAUCAAUCAUCUCCGCGAGGUCCUACUUGUGUUGCGACGUGAUCAGUUGUUCGCCACCCUUAAGAAAUGUGAGUUUGGAUCCGAGAGUGUUCACUUCCUCGGCUACAUUGUUUCUCGUCAGGGUUUAGCUGUCGAUCCUGCAAAAGUAGACGCUAUUCAGUCCUGGCCUGUUCCAACUACAUUAUCUGAGACAAGGAGUUUUCACGGCCUUGCUUCUUUCUAUCGACGCUUCGUCCCACAGUUUAGUAACCUUAUGGCGCCAUUAACUGAUUGUAUUCGUCGUGAGGGAACCUUUUUGUGGACUCCAGAGGCAUCUCGUGCCUUCGAUACCAUCAAACAGAAACUAAGUUCUGCUCCUAUUUUGGCUCUCCCUGAUUUUUCUCAGGUGUUCGAACUGCACUGCGAUGCUUCCAAAUACGGCAUCGGCGCAGUCUUGAGUCAGCGUAGCCGACCCAUUGCUUUCUUUAGCGAAAAACUUAGUGGUGCUCGCCUCCGGUAUAGCACGUACGAUGUUGAAUUCUAUGCGGUUGUUCAAGCCAUCAAACAUUGGAGACAUUAUCUUUUUCAUAAAGAGUUCGUCCUUUUCACCGAUCAUGAUGCUUUGAAACACCUUAACAGUCAAGAUAAGGUCUCUGCACGUCAUGCUACAUGGGUUUCUUAUUUACAGCAAUUCACUUUUGUCAUCAAGCAUACGUCCGGCGUCUCUAACCGUGUUGCUGAUGCGCUCAGUAGACGACGUUCCGUGUUGGCUGUUUUACAUGUUUCGGUACAUGGUUUAUCCACCUUUGCGGAUUUAUACGAGUCUGACGCUUUCUUUGGGAGUAUAUUACUUGAUGUUCAAGCAGGUGUGUCACGUGACUACACACUACAUGACGGGUUUCUUUUCCGCGGAGAUCGACUUUGUGUCCCCAGCUGUAGCCUUCGUCUUCAGCUUAUCUCUGAGACGCAUGGUGCAGGUCAUGUUGGGCGUGAUCGCACGCUCCAUCUCCUCUCCGCUUCUUAUUUUUGGCCGACUAUACGUCGUGAUGUUGAAAGAUAUGUCGAACGAUGUGUUGUGUGUCAACAAGCAAAGGGUAGCGCUACUAAUGCCGGUCUGUAUAUGCCGCUUCCAGUCCCAACUCAACCGUGGACAGACAUUAGUAUGGAUUUUGUUGUGGGUCUUCCUCGUACACAACGGGGUUUCGAUUCAAUAUUUGUGGUGGUUGACCGUUUUUCCAAGAUGGUUCACUUCAUUCCCUGUAAAAAGACCACAGAUGCUCUCCAGGUUGCCACUUUGUUCUUUCGGGAAGUCUAUCGCCUUCAUGGCUUACCAACUUCAAUUGUUUCUGAUAGGGAUUCUCGGUUCUUAGGACAUUUUUGGCGUUCUCUUUGGAAGAUGUUAGGUACUAGUCUUGAUAUGAGCACAGCCUAUCAUCCUCAAACGGAUGGUCAAACUGAAGUUACUAAUCGUUCAUUAGGAAACUUGCUUCGAUGUCUUGUUGGUGAUGCUAUUCGAACAUGGGACUCUAAGAUUCCCCAAGCCGAAUUUGCUCAUAACCUUGCACUGAAUCGUAGUUCGGGGUACAGUCCUUUCCAAGUCAUCUAUGGCUUCCUUCCCCGCGGUCCUCUCGAUAUUUCUACUCUCCCAGAUCAGACAAGACGUCAUGGAGUCGCCGAUGAUUUUAUUGAUGAUAUUCAUGCGGUUCAUGACAAAGUGAUCUCCAACUUACAGUCUUCGACCGCAGCCUACAAAACAGCAGCUGAUUCUCAUCGACGUCGGGUUGUGUUCGAAGUUGGUGAUCAAGUCUGGGCGUUUUUAACUAAGGAUCGCCUGCCCGCCCAUGCUUACAACAAGUUGAAAGCCAAGAAAAUCGGCCCACUUGAGGUUCUUGAACGUAUUAACGAUAAUGCAUAUCGUCUUCAGCUUCCAGCGAACAUUAACACUGCGGAUGUCUUCAAUGUGCGCCAUUUGUCUCGUUACCUUCCACCGGAUCCCGUCCCUGAUUCGAGGUCGAAUCUUUCUGACCCCGGGGGACCUGAUGCAGCAUCAUAGUUCCUUUACCGCCAAGCAAUCGUUUUUAAAUUUCCUUUUAUUGUUAGUUUUCCUUUUUGGUUUCAAGUCGUGAACUUUCCUUUCUUUUAUGAUUUCCUAAACCUAGAGGGACUAGUCGUAUGUGACCGACCCUAGGCGCCUAUAUAAAGGCUUCUUCUUGUUUUCUUUAGACACAGAUUUUGAAAGAUAAUAAACUAGAGUUUCUCUAAAGCCUUGCAUUGAUUUGAUUCCGUCAUCAAUACGAGAGCCUUGUAUCGAAUUUGAUUAAGUUCUUCGAUUCAAGAAGUCAGGUCUCUAAAGAUUUAAACUAAAUCUUUAGAUUUGAGCUGAGUUAUCAUUGUUACGCUGCGCCA
This 5122-nucleotide long non-coding RNA is filed under the name Brassica rapa (field mustard). Its description in RNAcentral is "long non-coding RNA (BRAP_LNC000413)". The record is from RNAcentral. Lineage: Eukaryota; Viridiplantae; Streptophyta; Magnoliopsida; Brassicales; Brassicaceae.